RNAcentral lists this ribosomal RNA (336 nucleotides) under uncultured bacterium. RNAcentral describes it as "partial 16S ribosomal RNA". It matches the Rfam family "Bacterial small subunit ribosomal RNA", at positions 338 to 666 of the family's 1533-position model. The record is from RNAcentral.
CCUACGGGAGGCUGCAGUAGGGAAUCUUCCACAAUGGGCGAAAGCCUGAUGGAGCAACGCCGCGUGGGUGAAGAAGGUCUUCUGAUCGUUAAACCCUGUUGUUCGAGAAGAAAGUGCGUGAGAGGAACUGUUCACGUUUCGACGGUAUCUAACCAGAAAGCCACGGCUAACUACGUCCCAGCAGCCGCGGUAAUACGUAGGUGGCAUGCGUUAUCCGGAUUUAUUGGGCGUAAAGGUAACGCGGGCGGUCUUUUAAGUCUGAUGUGAAAGCCUUCGGCUUAAACGGAGUAGUGCAUUGGAAACUGGGAGACUUGAGUGCAGAAGAAGAGAGUGGAA